RNAcentral lists this ribosomal RNA (502 nucleotides) under Veillonella parvula. RNAcentral's name for it is "bacterial SSU rRNA". It matches the Rfam family "Bacterial small subunit ribosomal RNA", at positions 28 to 499 of the family's 1533-position model. The record is from RNAcentral. Lineage: Bacteria; Bacillati; Bacillota; Negativicutes; Veillonellales; Veillonellaceae.
GACGAACGCUGGCGGCGUGCUUAACACAUGCAAGUCGAACGAAGAGCGAUGGAAGCUUGCUUCUAUCAAUCUUAGUGGCGAACGGGUGAGUAACGCGUAAUCAACCUGCCCUUCAGAGGGGGACAACAGUUGGAAACGACUGCUAAUACCGCAUACGAUCUAAACUCGGCAUCGAGGAUAGAUGAAAGGUGGCCUCUACAUGUAAGCUAUCACUGAAGGAGGGGAUUGCGUCUGAUUAGCUAGUUGGAGGGGUAACGGCCCACCAAGGCGAUGAUCAGUAGCCGGUCUGAGAGGAUGAACGGCCACAUUGGGACUGAGACACGGCCCAGACUCCUACGGGAGGCAGCAGUGGGGAAUCUUCCGCAAUGGACGAAAGUCUGACGGAGCAACGCCGCGUGAGUGAUGACGGCCUUCGGGUUGUAAAGCUCUGUUAAUCGGGACGAAAGGCCUUCUUGCGAAUAGUGAGAAGGAUUGACGGUACCGGAAUAGAAAGCCACGGCUA